AUUGAACGUUAGCGGGAUGCCUUACACAUGCAAGUCGAACGGCAGCGGGAAAGUAGCUUGCUACUUUUGCCGGCGAGUGGCGAACGGGUGAGUAAUGUAUCGGAACGUGCCCAGUAGCGGGGGAUAACUACGCGAAAGCGUGGCUAAUACCGCAUACGCCCUACGGGGGAAAGGGGGGGAUCUUAGGACCUCUCACUAUUGGAGCGGCCGAUAUCGGAUUAGCUAGUUGGUGAGGUAAAGGCUCACCAAGGCGACGAUCCGUAGCUGGUUUGAGAGGACGACCAGCCACACUGGGACUGAGACACGGCCCAGACUCCUACGGGAGGCAGCAGUGGGGAAUUUUGGACAAUGGGGGAAACCCUGAUCCAGCCAUCCCGCGUGUGCGAUGAAGGCCUUCGGGUUGUAAAGCACUUUUGUCAGGGAAGAAAAGGUUCUGGCUAAUAUCCGGAACUGAUGACGGUA
This 462-nucleotide ribosomal RNA is filed under the name uncultured bacterium. RNAcentral describes it as "bacterial SSU rRNA". It matches the Rfam family "Bacterial small subunit ribosomal RNA", at positions 30 to 477 of the family's 1533-position model. The record is from RNAcentral.